GUCAUGGAGAGCAAACCAGUAAGCAGCACCCCUACACGGUCUCUGCAUCAGCUCCUGCCUCCAAGUUCCUGCCCUGUUUGAAUUCCUGUCCUGACUUCCUUUGGUGAUGAACAGCAAUGUGGAAGUCUAGAUACGCAUCUUCCCCUCGGUCACCGGGUAUUUGUAGACUAUGCUGCAUCAGUGUUGUGGCAGAGAGGAAUUGUUAGGAAUGACAGUUCACAACCACUGCCGACACCUGCUGGGACACAGACAGUGUAGGCUGCCGUCACCCUGUCCAGAGACCCUGGAAGUAAAUAUAUUGGAGUGAAAACUCAAGACACAACAGAAGUAAUCACCAUAAACUGCUGAAUACCUGGAUCACAAGAACCAUCCUUAUCUCUUCCGCAUUGUGUAGGUUUGUGAUGUCUAAGUUCCUGGCUUCUUUUGAAAACUUAUUAUCAUC
This 442-nucleotide long non-coding RNA is filed under the name Cricetulus griseus (Chinese hamster). Its description in RNAcentral is "lncRNA (ENSCGRG00015032488.1)". Lineage: Eukaryota; Metazoa; Chordata; Mammalia; Rodentia; Cricetidae. The record is from RNAcentral.